GAAAUGCGAUAAGUAAUGUGAAUUGCAGAAUUCAGCGAAUCAUCGAAUCUUUGAACGCACAUUGCGCCCGCCAGCACUCUGGCGGGCAUGCCUGUUCGAGCGUCAUUUCAACCCUCAGAACCCCUUGCGGGAUCUGGCGUUGGGGAUUGGCAUCCAGCCAGCCCCGAAAUCUAGUGGCGGUCCCUCCGCGACCUCCCCUGUGCAGUAGCGAUACCUCGCAGCGGGACAGCGGUCUGACCACGCCGUAAAACCCCCAACUUCUCAAGGUUGACCUCGAAUCAGGUAGGAAUACCCGCUGAACUUAAGC
Molecule: unclassified non-coding RNA, 307 nt
Filed under: plant metagenome
Description: partial contains 5.8S ribosomal RNA, internal transcribed spacer 2, and large subunit ribosomal RNA
Rfam family: 5.8S ribosomal RNA (bases 1-105)
Source: RNAcentral